AAGUCGUAACAAGGUUUCCGUAGGUGAACCUGCGGAAGGAUCAUUAUUGAAUAAGAAUUGGUACUGAUGCUGGCUCUUCACUGAGCAUGUGCUCGUCCAUUCAUAUUUACCUUCUCUUGUGCACAUUUUGUAGUCUUGGAAAAGUGAAUCUCGCGUUGCUGUUCGCAGCAAGCUGCGGUUUGGGGGAUGGGCGCAAGCACUUCCCUUGCUUUUGCUUCUUUUCAAGGCUAUGUUUUCAUAUACCCUAUACAAUGUUACAGAAUGUCUUUUAACGAUUGUGCUAGUCGCAGUCAUUAAACCUAUACAACUUUCAGCAACGGAUCUCUUGGCUCUCCCAUCGAUGAAGAACGCAGCGAAAUGCGAUAAGUAAUGUGAAUUGCAGAAUUCAGUGAAUCAUCGAAUCUUUGAACGCACCUUGCGCCCUUUGGUAUUCCGAAGGGCAUGCCUGUUUGAGUGUCAUUAAAUUAUCAACCUUUGUUCGCUUGAACGAGGCUUGGAUGUGAGGGCUUGCUGGCUUCCUUCAGUGGAUGGUCUGCUCCCUUUAAAUGCAUUAGUGGGAUCUCUUGUGGACCGUCACUUGGUGUGAUAAUUAUCUAUGCCACUUGACUUUGAAGCAAAUCUUAUGAGAACCCGCUCAUAACCGUCUUGCAAGGGACAAUUUAUUGACUAUUUGACCUCAAAUCAGGUAGGACUACCCGCUGAACUUAAGCAUAUCAAUAAGCGGAGGAAAAGAAACUAACAAGGAUUCCCCUAGUAACUGCGAGUGAAGCGGGAAAAGCUCAAAUUUGAAAUCUGGCGGUUCUUGACCGUCCGAGUUGUAAUCUAGAGAA
RNAcentral lists this unclassified non-coding RNA (830 nucleotides) under uncultured Mycena. Its description in RNAcentral is "sequence contains ITS1, 5.8S rRNA gene and ITS2". The stretch from base 306 to 459 matches the Rfam family "5.8S ribosomal RNA". The record is from RNAcentral. Lineage: Eukaryota; Fungi; Basidiomycota; Agaricomycetes; Agaricales; Tricholomataceae.